GACGAACGCUGGCGGCGUGCUUAACACAUGCAAGUCGAACGCUGAAGCUCAGCUUUUGUUGGGUGGAUGAGUGGCGAACGGGUGAGUAACACGUGAGUAACCUGCCCCCUUCUUUGGGAUAACGCCCGGAAACGGGUGCUAAUACUGGAUAUUCACUGGUCUUCGCAUGGGGGUUGGUGGAAAGGGUUUUUCUGGUGGGGGAUGGGCUCGCGGCCUAUCAGCUUGUUGGUGGGGUGAUGGCCUACCAAGGCUUUGACGGGUAGCCGGCCUGAGAGGGUGACCGGUAACAUUGGGACUGAGAUACGGCCCAGACUCCUACGGGAGGCAGCAGUGGGGAAUAGUGCACAAUGGGCGCAAGCCUGAUGCAGCGACGCCGCGUGAGGGAUGGAGGCCUUCGGGUUGUGAACCUCUUUCGCUCAUGGUCAAGCCGCAACAAUGGUUGUGGUGAGGGGAGUGGGUAAAGAAGCGCCGGCUAACUACGU
Molecule: ribosomal RNA, 482 nt
Filed under: uncultured bacterium
Lineage: Bacteria
Description: partial 16S ribosomal RNA
Rfam family: Bacterial small subunit ribosomal RNA
Source: RNAcentral